GACAUAGGUGGCAAGCGUUAUUCGGAAUUACUAGGCGUAAAGCGUGCGCAGGCGGUUAUGUAAGACAGAUGUGAAAUCCCCGGGCUUAACCUGGGAACUGCAUUUGUGACUGCAUAGCUAGAGUACGGUAGAGGGGGAUGGAAUUCCGCGUGUAGCAGUGAAAUGCGUAGAUAUGCGGAGGAACACCAAUGGCGAAGGCAAUCCCCUGGGCCUGCACUGACGCUCAUGCACGAAAGCGUGGGGAGCAAACAGGAUUAGAUACCCGGGUAGU
Molecule: ribosomal RNA, 271 nt
Filed under: uncultured bacterium
Lineage: Bacteria
Description: partial 16S ribosomal RNA
Rfam family: Bacterial small subunit ribosomal RNA
Source: RNAcentral